UGGCUCAGGACGAACGCUGGCGGCGUGCUUAACACAUGCAAGUCGAACGGUGAUGCCCAGCUUGCUGGGCGGAUCAGUGGCGAACGGGUGAGUAACACGUGAGUAACCUGCCCCAGACUCCGGGAUAAGCCUUGGAAACGAGGUCUAAUACUGGAUACGAGACGCCCCUGCAUGGGGAGUGUCUGGAAAGAUUUAUCGGUCUGGGAUGGACUCGCGGCCUAUCAGCUUGUUGGUGGGGUAAUGGCCUACCAAGGCGACGACGGGUAGCCGGCCUGAGAGGGCGACCGGCCACACUGGGACUGAGACAC
RNAcentral lists this ribosomal RNA (308 nucleotides) under Oerskovia turbata. RNAcentral's name for it is "bacterial SSU rRNA". It matches the Rfam family "Bacterial small subunit ribosomal RNA", at positions 20 to 327 of the family's 1533-position model. Lineage: Bacteria; Bacillati; Actinomycetota; Actinomycetes; Micrococcales; Cellulomonadaceae. The record is from RNAcentral.